This 396-nucleotide ribosomal RNA is filed under the name uncultured bacterium. Its description in RNAcentral is "partial 16S ribosomal RNA". It matches the Rfam family "Bacterial small subunit ribosomal RNA", at positions 523 to 918 of the family's 1533-position model. The record is from RNAcentral.
AUACGUAGGGAGCGAGCGUUGCCCGGAAUUACUGGGUGUAAAGGGAGCGUAGGCGGGACUGCAAGUCAGAUGUGAAAUACCGGGGCUUAACCCCGGAGCUGCAUUUGAAACUGUGGUUCUUGAGUGAAGUAGAGGCAAGCGGAAUUCCUGGUGUAGCGGUGAACUGCGUAGAUAUCAGGAGGAACACCGGUGGCGAAGGCGGCUUGCUGGGCUUUUACUGACGCUGAGGCUCGAAAGCGUGGGUAGCAAACAGGAUUAGAUACCCUGGUAGUCCACGCUGUAAACGAUGAUUACUAGGUGUGGGGGGACUGACCCCUUCCGUGCCGCAGUUAACACAAUAAGUAAUCCACCUGGGGAGUACGGCCGCAAGGUUGAAACUCAAAGGAAUUGACGGGG